ACAACUUAUGAGUACGAGGGCGAUCGUACUCAUAAGAGUAUAGUAGCCGGACUCUAUAUAUAUAUAUAUAUAUAUAUAUAUAGAGAGAGAGAGAGAGAGAGAGAGAGAGAGAGAGAGAGUAGAGAGAGAGAGGGCUACUAUACUCUUAUGAGUAUAGAGCCCUUCAUACUCAUAAGUUGUUUUCGAUGUUGGGGUUUUCAAAUGGACGAUCCACACUGUUAAACAUUCUCUAGGGUAUUUGAAACCUCUAGAAAAAAAAAUUUCGUAAUUUUUCGAAAUCAUUAUAAAGUCCAUCAAGUGGGUAUAAAAUGAACGGUCAAAACCGAACGACAUCCUAAAAAUGGAUGAUCGGAUCUUUCAAUUUAAGAUCAGAGUUUUUGAUCAUUCUUUAGGUAGUGAAUAGAAUUUUCUAUCAAAAAUUCAACCUAUUCUGAUUCUUUUUCACGGUUAAACUAGCAAAUAUCUCAUACCGGCUGUUAAAAAUUGUUAAUUUUGUGAGCUGUUGAUCGUAAGGUAAAUGAUAUCGAAAAAUUAUAAAAUUUGAUUUCUAGAAGUUUUAAAUGCUCUAGAUAAUGUUUAACGGUAUGGAUCGUCGAUUCCGAAGCUCUAUCAUCGAAACAACUUAUGAGUACGAAGGCAAUCGUACUCAUAAGAGUAUAGUAGUCGGACUCUGUAUCAAGGUUUAAAUUGUCGUGGCACGGGGGCGUGCCAUUAUGUCCCUUGCACGGUACGGCACAGGCACGCUUGCGUGCCGACACUUGUCACGCUUGCGUGCCGAUAGAUACACAUGACCUCCUACGGCACAGGCACGCUUGCGUGCCGACACUUGGCACGCUUGCGUGCCGAUAGAUACACAUGACCUCCUACUGGCACGCAGGGGUGCUGCAGCACACAGAGUGGGUUCGAGACCCCCCUGUACCGUGCCCCCUUCUUGGGGGCACGGUACGGCACAGGGCGGCACCUUCAUCCUUGCUCUAUAUAUAUAUAUAUAUAUAGUCCAGCUGGGAUACUAUCGAUAGCAUCAAGCACUUGGUGCUACUGAGUUUUCCACCGUUAGAUUUAACCCUUUGAUUAUUUUCACCCAUUAGAUUUUAUUAUUCAACCAACAACUCACUCAACCCUAGAGGGCCCACAUCAUCCUAGCCGUACAUUUCUUCAUCCAAGGGCCGAAAACCUAAUAGCACCAACAGCUUGGUGCUAUUGAUAGCAUUCCAGCAUAGUUCUAUAUAUAUAUAUAUAGAGAGAGAGAGAGAGAGAGAGAGAGAGUCCGACUACUAUACUCUUAUGAGUACGAUUGCCCUCGUACUUAUAAGUUGUUUUCGAUGAUAGAGCUUCCGAAUCGACGAUCCAUACCGUUAAACGUUAUCUAGAGCAUUUAAAAUUUUUAGAAAUCAAAUUUUAUAAUUUUUUGACAUCAUUUACCUUACAAUCAAAUGGUAACAAAAUUGAUAACUUUUAACGGCCGGUAUAAGAUACUUGUUAGUUUAACGGUGUAAAAACUUCAGAAUCGGUUGAAUUUUUGAUAGAAAAUUCUAUUCACUACCUAGAUAAAGAUCAAUAACUCCGAUCUUAAAUUGAAGGAUGCGAUCAUCUAUUUUUAGGACGUCGUUCGAUUUCGACCGUUCAUUUUAUACCCACUUGAUGGACUUUAUUAUGAUUUCGAAAGAUUACGAAAUUUAUUUUUUAGAAGUUUCAAAUACUCUAGAUCAUAUUUAACGGAGUGGAUCGUCGAUUCAGAAGCUCCAUCAUUGAAAACAACUUAUGAGUAUGAAGGAUUCUAUACUCAUAAGAGUAUAGUAGCCCUACUCUCUCUCUCUCCCUCUUUAUAUAUAUAUAUAAUUGAGCUCCUAUGCUUUUAAAAGUACCAAGUUAUUGGUGCUUGUAGAUUUUUAGCUAUUGGAUUAAAAGAUAUGCGGUUAAGAUGAUGUGGGCCCUCUAGGGUUUAGUAGGUGGUUGGUUGAAUAGUAUAAUCUAAUGGUUGAAAAUGAUCCGAGGAGUAGAUCUAACAGUAAAAAACUUACAAGCACCAAAUGCUUGGUGCUUUUACAAGCACCAUAGCUGGACUCUAUAUAUAUAUAUAGGAGUAGGACUUGUGUGCUAUUAGGAGUACGAAGGCCAGAUAAUGGAACUUCCAAAUCGACAAUUAACUCCGUUAAACUUGAUCUAGCAUAUUUAAAAUAUCUAGAAAAUAAAUUGUGAUUUUUUGAUUAAUUACAUAGCGAUUGAAAGGACUCAAAAUCAACGGUUGAAAAUAAAAAUUUUACAAAAAAUUAUGAUAUUGCAUUAAAAUUUUCGAUCGAAGAUAUUAAUCUUGCUGUAGAUAGUAUAAAGAAUUUUCUAUCAAAAUUUUAUCUGAUUUGAAUACUUCUACAUUAUUAAUAUUGCAAACGGCACACACCAACCAUUAAAAAUUGUUGAUUUUGAACCCUUUUGAUCAUUAGGUAAAUGAUAUCGAAAAAUCGCAAAAUUUAUUUUUCAUAUACUUCAAACACGCUAGAUCAAGUCUAACAGAGUUGAUUGUCAAUUCGGAAGUUUAAUCAUCGAAAACGUCUUAGGAGCAUGAAGGCCUCCGUGCUCCUAAUAGCACACAAGUCCUACUCCAUAUAUAUACACACACACACACACGUGUAUAUAUAUAGAGAGAGAGAGAUAGAGAGAGAGAGAGAGUAGGUCUUGUGUGCUAUUACGAGCACGGAGGCCUCCAUGCUCCUAAGCCAUUUUCGAUGAUGGAGCUUCCGAAUCGACAAUCGGCUCCAUUAGACUUGAUCUAGCGUAUUUGAAGUAUCUAGAAAAUAAAUUUUGCGAUUUUUUGAUAUUAUUUACAUAGCGAUCGAAAGUGUUCAAAAUCAAAGGCUAAAAAUAAAAAUCUCACAAAAAGUGGUGAUAUGGCACUAAAAUUUUCAAUCAGAGAUAUUAACUUGCAGUACAUAAUACAAAAAAAAAAAUUUGUCAAAAUUUCAUCUGAUUUGAAUACUACACCGUUAAACUUAUAAAGGAUAUAUAUCAAUCAUUUUUAACGGUGUAGAAGUAUUCAAAUUAGAUAAAAUUUUGAUAGAAAGUUUUUUGUACUAUUUACUGCAAGUCAAUAUCUCUGAUCGAAAAUUUUAGUGCUAAAGUAAUGAUAUAGCACUAAAAUUUUCGAUCAAAGAUAUUGACUAGCAAUAAAUAGUACAAAAAAUUUUCUAUCAAAAUUUCAUCUGAUUUGAAUACUUCUACAUUGUUAAACUUGUAAACGAUAUAUAUCAACCAUUAAAAAUGAUUGAUUUUGAAUCCUUUCGAUCGCUAGGUAAAUAAUAUCGAAAAAUUACAAAAUUUAUUUUCUACAUACUUCAAAUACGGUAGAUCAAGUCUAACGGAGCCGAUCGCAUUAAGAAAGUGCCCGAUCAUGAAAAAUGGCACUUACAACACGGAUGGCUCUAUGCUCCAAUAAGCACACAAGCUCCUACUAAUAUAUAUAUCAUGAGAGAGAAGAGAGAGGAGAAUUUAGGCUACUAUCACUACCCUUAGUACAGAGCUUCGUACUAGUUAGUUCUUGUUUCGAUCUUAGGGUGUUCAAAUUAACAUACAGCACCGUAAAAUAUGAUCUAGCUGUAUAUGAAGUUCUUAGAAUAAAAUUUAGUUUUUUUCGAUAGUCGUUUUACUAAGUAAAAUAAUUAUGUCAAAAUCGUCGGGAAUUAAAUAAUCUUUAAAAUUUGAGCAGGUUGAAAUUCAAGAUCAGGUAAUGCUUAACCUUGAAUCUAGUAGUUUAAAGUAUUUCAAUCAAAAUGUAAGAAAUUUAGAUUCUUCCAUGACACCUUAAACUCCAAAUUCGCACAUAGAGCAUGAAAUUUGACGAAUUUUGAAAAUAGUUUUAUCAUAAAGUAAAACUAUGGCUCGAAAAAAUAUAAAAUUUUAUUUCUAAAACUUUAAUACCCUUAGAUCAGUUCUUAACGGUGUGGAUCGUAAUUGAUUUGAACACCCUUAGAUCGAAACACGGGACUAUAGAUCCGAGCCCCCGAUACUAUAGAUAGUACAGCGAGACUAGCUCCUGAUAUAUAUAUAUAUAGUAGGGCUACUAUACUCUUACGAGUAUAGAGCCCUUUGUACUCAUAAGUUGUUUUCGAUGAUGGGGCUUCUGAAUCGACGAUCUACUCCGUUAAAUAUGAUCUAAAGUAUUUGAAACUUCUAAAAAAUAAAUUUCGUAAUUUUUCAAAAUCAUAAUAAAGUCCAUCAAGAGGCCAUAAAAUGAACGGUCAAAAUCAAACGACGUCCUAAAAAUGGAUGAUCCGAUCCUUCAAUUUAAGAUUGAAGCUAUUGAUUUUUAUCUAGGUAGUGAAUAGAAUUUUCUAUCAAAAAUUCAACAUAUUUCAAUUUUUUUACACCGUUAAACUAGCAAGUAUCCCAUACCGGCCGUUAAAAAUUGGCAAUUUUGUGAGCUUUUGAUUGUAAGUUAAAUAAUAUCGAAAAAUUAUGAAAUUUGAUUUCUAUAAGUUUUAAAUGCUCUAGAAAAUGUUUAAUGGUAUGGAUCGUCGAUUCGGAAGCUUUAUCAUCAAAAACGACUUAUGAGUACGAAGGCGAUCGUACUUAUAAGAGUAUAGUAGCCGGACUACAUAUAUAUAUAUAGAGAGAGUUGAACUGGAAUGCUAUCAGUAGCAAACGAGCUCCAUUGCCACCCAUUUGUUUUCGAUAAUGGAGCCUUCAAAUUAACGAUCGAUACCGUUAAACAUGAUCUAUACCACUUGAAAUAUCUAGAAACUAAAUUUCAAAUCUUUUCGGCACCAUUGACCUAAUGAUCAAAGGGUUUCAAAAUUUGUAAUUUUAAUGGUAGAUAUGAGGCGUUUUCUCGUUUAACGGUGUAGAGUUAUCCAAAUAAAUUGAAUUUAGGUUACAAAAUUCUUUAAGCUAUUUAGAACAAGAUCUAUACUCUCGAUCUUCAUUACAAAAUUUCUCUCAUCACUUUUCAGAGGAUAUUCAUUUUCAGCCAUUCAUUUUUACGUCCACUUGAUGGACAAGAGAACAAUAUCGGAAAAACAUGAAAUUUGAUUUCUAGAUACUUCAAGUGGUAUAGAUCAUGUUCAACGUACCGAUCGUCGAUUUGGAGGCUCCAUCAUUGAAAACAAAUGGGUGGCAACGGAGCCCGUUUGCUACUAAUAGUAUUCCAACUCAACUAUAUAUAUAUAUAUAUAUAUAUAUAUAUAUAUAUAUAUAUAUAUAUAGGCCGUGGCUACUAUACUAUUAUGAGUAUUGGAGCCCUCGUACUCAUAAGUUGUUUUCGAUGAUGGAGCUUCUGAAUCGUCGAUCCACUCCGUUAAAUAUGAUCUAGAGUAUUUGAAACUUCUAGAAAAUAAAUUUUGUAAAUUUUCGAAAUCAUAAUAAAGUCCAUCAAGCGGGCAUAAAAUGAAUGGUCAAAAUCGAACGACGUCCUAAAAAAGGAUGAUUGGAUUCUUCAAUUCAAGAUCAGAGUUAUUGAUCUUUAUCUAGGUAGGGAAUAGAAUUUUCUAUCAAAAAUUCAACAAAUUCCGAUUCUUUUACACCGUUAAACUAGCAAGUAUCUCAUAUCGGCCAUUAAAAAUUAUCAAAUUUGUGACCUCUUGAUCGUAAGGUAAAUGAUGUCGAAAAAUUAUAAAAUUUGAUUUCUAUUAGUUUUAAAUGCUGUAAAUAACGUUUAACGGUAUGGAUCGUCGAUUCGGAAGCUCUAUCAUUGAAAGACGCAUUUAUAAGUACCGAGAGCAUCGUACUCAUAAUAGUAUGGUAGCGGGACCCAUAUAUCAUUAUACUGUACCUAAUACAGUAAUUUAUCGAUUACGAAUCUCAUAAAUGGUGACAGCAUAGCAAUUUCAAGAAUCAUGUAAGAAUUAGGCCUAAAGAAAACAAUUAGAACGAAAAUUUAGCAAUCAUAAUUAGCAACGGCAAGAAAAGUCACCUGACUACCCUCUCAACCAACACUCACCAGCCCGAUAAACAAACAUAUAUAUAGAGGUCCGGCUGGGAUACUCAUGUUCCACAAGAUUGAUGCUAUCGAGUUUUUCCACCCUUAGAUUUAUAACCUUUUGAUUUUAUUACCCGUUAGAUUAUAUACAUUUCAACAGACCAACGACUAACCCUGGGCGCUCCACCCAUAUCUAACGUAUAUUUCUCAUCCGAUGAAGCUAAAAAACUAAUAGAACCAAGUCUUGUCGGUAAUCGAUAGUAUCCCAACCGACUCUCAUCUCUCCUCCUCUCUCUCUCCAUCUCUCUCUCUACUUAUAUAUAUAUAUAUAUUACUAUAUAUAUAUACGAGAGAAGAGAGAUGAGACCUGAGGAGUGUGAGGCGGUUGGACACCCGACGCGAUGGGGCCGGCGUUAGAGGAUAAGAUGGGAGUCGAGGAGAGAGAGAGUUUGGGGACUGGAAUACUAUUGCAUAGUAUUUACCCCCCUUUUGCUAUCAGAUUUUUAACCCUCGAUUGGAUGAGAAAUUGUUGGUUAGGGAUGAUAUUAUGUCCCUUAGGGCUGAGGUGGUCCCACGGCGUUAAUUAAAUUUAAUCCAUAUGAUUAGAAAUGAUCAAAGGAAUUAUCCAAAGGCUUAUAAACUUGAUAGGCAAAAGGACAAAUAUAUAUAAUAGUAUUCUAACCAACUAUAUAUAUAUAUAUAUAUAUAUAUAUAUAUAUAUUAAUAUAUAUAUAUAGUUGCCUAGAAUUACUAUCGAUGCAACGAGCUCCGUCUGCACCAUAUUGUUUUACGAGAUGUCGAGCCAUCCAAAUCUGCGAUGGCACGUUUGAACAUGAUCUAUACCACUUGAAUGUUUAGAAAAUCAAAUUUCAUAUUUUCGAUAUUAUUCUCUUAUCCAUCGAGUGGACACAAAAAUGAAACGGUGAAUGAAAUAUUCUUUAAAAAAUGAUGAUAGGAGUCUUGUAAUCAAGAUCAAGAGUAUAGAUCUUGUUAAAUAGUUAAAAAAAUUUUCAAAUAAAAUUCAAUUGAUAUUGGAUAUCUUCUUGCGCUUAAACAAGAAACGUCUCAUAUCGACCAUUUAAUUUACAAAUUUUAAAAACCCUUCGAUCAUUAGGCAAUAUAAUGUCGAAAAGAUUUGAAUUCGAUUUCUAAACACUUCAAAGUGGUAUAGCUCAUGUUCAACUCGGUACCGUAUCGUCGAUUUGGAGGCUCCAUCAUCGAAAACAAAUGGGUGGCAACGGAGCCCGUUUGCUAUCGAUAGUAUUCUAGCUUAACUCUAUAUAAAUAUAUAUAGAGUUGAGCUAGAAUACUAUCGAUAGCAAACGGGCUCCGUUGUCACCCAUAUAUAGAGUUGAGCUAGAAUACUAUCGAUAGCAAACGGACUCCGUUGCCACCCAUUUAUUUUCGAUGAUGGAGCCUCCAAAUCGACGAUCGGCACCGUUGAACAUGAUCUAUCCCACUUGAAGUGUUUAGAAAUCGAAUUUCAUACAUUUCCAAUAUUGUUCUCUUAUCCAUCGAGUAGACACAAAAAUAAACGGUUGAAAAUGAAUAUUCUUUAAAAAAUGAUGAUAGAAUUCUUGAAAUCAAGAUCAAGAGUAUAGAUCUUGUUUUAUAUAGUUUAAAGAAUUUUCUAACAAAAAAUUAAUUGGUUUGGAUAUCUUUACACUGUUAAACGAGAAAACGACUCACAUCGACCAUUAAAAUUAUAAAUUUUGAAACCCUUUGAUCAUUAGACAAAUGAUGUCGAAAAGAUUUGAAAUUUGAUUUCUAAAUACUUGAACUGGUACAAAUCAUGUUCAACAGUACCGAUCGUCGAUCUGGAGGCUCUAUCAUCGAAAACAAAUGGGUGGCAACGAAGCCCGUUUGCUAUCAAUAGUAUUCUAGUUCAACUAUAUAUAUAUAUAUAUAUAUAUAAAUAGAAAGAGAUAGUGAAAAAGAGAAAAGAGAGUACGUCUCAUGUGCUUUCGAAAGCACGAAGGCCUCCGUGCUUGUAAGUUAUUUUUGAUGAUGGAACAUCCAAUUCGACGAUCGGCUCCAUUAGGCAUGAUCUACGUUAUUAGAACUACUAAGAAACCAAAUUUCAUAAUUUUCCAACAUCAUUUACCAAAUGAUCAAAGGGUCUCAAAAAUGACUAUUUUAAUGGCCGAUAUGGCACGUCCCUAAGCUCAACAAUGUAGAACAAUCCAAAUUAGGUGAAAUUUUAAUAGAAAAUUCUACUUACCAUCAAGAGAAAGAUUUGAAAGUUGUCUUUUAUCAUUGUUUUCCAUAGGAUUUUUAUUUUCAGUCGUUCAUUUUAAGGCUAUUCGUACACUAGGCAAACAAAGUCAAAAAAUUGUGAAAUUUAAUUUCUAGAUAGUCCAACAUGGUAGAUCAUAUCUAACAUAACCGAUCGCCGAAUCAAAGUUCCACGUGACCGAUCGCCGAAUCAAAGUCAAAAAACGGUUUGAUCCGUAAAACACCUAUUAAACAUCAAAGUUCCAUGUGACCUCUUCAAUCGAAGAGCCCUAUUUGGCUUUACAGAAUAGCCACUUAAAUUAAUUUAUGUAAUCUGAAGAUUAAUCAAAGCUGAAAAAAUUUCCAGUUGUUAGGACUUGCAAUGUUCCAUCUCUUGAUACCACUCUUGUUUUAUUUUAUUAUCAGAAUUCUUUAUCGCUAUACUCACCAUUGAAUAAUUCCUAUUGAGGCAUUUUGCAGCAGAUCAAAAGAUCUAAACACAUCCAUUUCCCUAGAGUUUGGUGUCUUGCAUAUGUUAGUCUUCAAAGAUUUUUGAGAAUUCCUUUAUUCUGUUGCAUUUUUUUUUAAAUUAAGGCACGGAAUCCAGUAUUGUCUUAAUGCAGUUAAGAUAGCAAUUCAUGAGAUAUUAUCUCAUGAGUCAUGACAAAUGAAGGAAUGCAAUAGUAUCGAUGUGAUAAUAGCAUUAAAAGGAGAGGAUUUCUAGUAGAAUCUGAUAUUGAAGAGCUAAGAAUGUAUUUUUCCUUUAAUUUCAGAACUAAAAUAUUUUUUCUUUUCAUUACCAGCGCCAAGUAAAGCUCACAGCUCAUGAGCCAGCUCGAUCUCGGUUCCUUUAUAGCCCUACUCAAGCUAGUUUGUUUGUCAGACAAGCCAAUCUCAAGCAAGGAUUUCGGGCACGCUUUUGUAAAUGAGCUCUAGCCUCACUCGAGUUCAGCUCAUAUUAGCUUGAAUAUUGCUCCUAUUUAGUACGCUUCUUAAGCCUGUCGAUCCAAUAGCCUGAGUGACCACUGUACAACCUAGGGUUCUACCCAAGAAUAUAAGUGUCCAUCAACACAGGCCAUAUCCACCGUGUCGUAUCAUACCAAUAAAAUAUCGAUACGAUAUAGCCCUCAUGCCGAUGGCACAGCUCAAAACUCUCUUUUCUUUAAAUUAGUAAGUUAUUUUUUCAAUAAAGUUCAAAAGACUUGAUCAAGAUACAUAAUAAGCAAAGAAUAUUUUGCUGCUAAAGAAAAUAAAUAUUUCAUGCAAUUAUGUGUCGGCACACAAGUAUUUUUUGUGACUGGCACGCAUCGGCACAGUCCGGCACACCGUGUCAUACCGCACCGGCAAGUUUUCGACACGACCCCAUGUCAAGGCACUUAAAUUCUUGGUUCCACCAAAAUCCCAAAUUCCAAUACAAUAGUAAUUAUCUCAGCUAACUUGGGGAAGCAAAACGGCAACGCCUCCACCUCUAUCCUCCCACACUGAUAGCAAAAUAUGGUCAUGCUUCAACCUCUCCUCCGAAAUGAGUUGCAAGACCAACCAUGCUAAUAGUAGGGACAACCUGUCCAUGUCUUAUCCUAUGGAACAGCACAAGAGAUGCCUCCACGUCUCUUCACAACAAAUUCAAAAAGCCAAGCUCAAGCUAACCCGGUAUAUAGGAAAUUGAUCUCAAGCCAUCUGUGGUCCAACACGAUUCAAGCUCAAGCCGAGUUCAAGCUAGCCUUUCAGCAUCUUUGUGUCAGCCCAAGCUGAGAUUAUCUCGGCUGGUUUACACCCCUACUCUUCAUUAAUAGAAAUCGGAAGGCAACCAACGCACAAGCAACGCCGCAAGAGAGGUCAAAACUAAUUAAACCCUCCACUGUGCUUUCUUGAAUAGCUCCUCUUUCUUUAAAAGCCCUAUCUAACCCAAUGUUACCUAGAACGGGAUUCGCCGUGGUGCGUGGUACAGGUACAGGAACGUGAUUUGCUAGUUUGCGGUACAAGGGAGAGAGGGUAGGGGUGGUGUUCUGAAGGGUUAGCUGUCGGAAUGCUAUAAUAGCAGCAGUUAGUCAACAUAUAUGUAGAGUGUCAGGAUCGAUCGAAGUCGUUUCGAUGUGAAAUGGACGCGAAAACAAACUCGGAGCACUAAAACCAGCCAAAACUAGAGUUCUGGCAGUUUCGAACGCCCAGAAAGUGAAACUAGGCACCCAGAUCUUCACUGCAAUGUUGUUGUUGCUAUUGAAGUCAUUUCGGGCCCUCAUUCGGGUGCUCGGAUGUCCACCUGGAUUGCCCCACGUGUGUAACGAUCUUCUACGACACAUGGUAGGUGGCAGCUUUGGAUACGAGCGAUGGAUAAGGUUUCAGACCCUCUUGCAGUUAGCCCGGAUUUGGAUCCGAACUGCGUUUUGCACAGUUUCAGGCACCCGGAUGUGAGUUUAGGGCGCCCGAAUGUGGGGAUUUCUACAAGUGGCAAGUUUAAAUUCUAUUCUUCUUUGGGCUCACUUUACCUCUAUAUAUAGAUUAUGUAAGCCCCUCACAACCUCUUUUCCUUCUCCUUCACCUGGAAACUCAAUUCUCACAGCAAAUCCAUCACCAAAACCUCUCUAAUUUCCCUUCUUUUCCCUGCAGGUACAGUAGCAGCAGCAAGAACAGCACCAGUAACAGCAGCUUGGUUGGGAGUUAGUUGAUUAGGGAUUUGUAAUUGUUGCUGAGGUUUUGGUUUGUGAUUUUGAUGGUAGAAGAGAGGUUGUGGAGCAAUUCCUGCAUUCUAAUUCCAGGCUAGUAGCUUUAAAUUGGAGAGAGUGGUAGUUGAGCUAAAUUUUGGAGUUUUGUUGAUUUUCUCCAAUUUCUUGAUUCGAUUCUUUCUAGUACAGUUAUUGCUGGAUUCUUGUGGGUUCGAAGCUACUUCUACCUAGAUUACAGGUUAGUGAGCUGAGAUUAAUGGUCAAAUCGAGUUUUUGGAACCGAAUUGAGCUUUCGAUGGAAAUUUUAAAUCCAAUCUCUUUCCAGUAAUUCUCUUGUUUGGAGAUGUGUUUAGUUGGACUUUUUCACCUGUUUUGGAGCAGAGGGGCUUGAGGAAUUUCAUUCUAGCUGGUAGCAAGGUAGAAUGAUCUACAUUUUAGUAAAAUUCAGAUUUUUGCUUUAAAUUCCAGCAUUGAUGAAUUUUACUAUUGAUCUAGAUUAGCUCCUUGCUGAUUUUGAGAGGUCUUUUUCACUGAAUUCCUGCCGGGCUUGGGGCUGAGGAGAGGUGUAUUCGUGAUUGAACCCUUGCCAUCAUUGGAUUAGCACACAAGAUGAGUUAAUUUACCGAAAAUGACAAAACACUCAUUAUGUCUAGCCAAUUCUGCAUGCAUGCUGAUUUCUUAUUCUAGUUAAAUGUUCUAACCUAAUAUCCUGAGAAAUGCAUGUGAGAUGCUGAUUUUCUGUGUUAGAACUCCUCAAACCUGCAUGUAGAGAAUUUUAUAUGCUGAAAUUGGACUAUAUACAUGUACAAAAAUCUGCGCUAUUCCUCCCCGACGCUCCGUCUUUAGUAUUUAGUGUCAUUAGCUGUUUUUGUCUGUUUUUCACCCUAGCUAAGGGUAUUGAGCAUAUGGAUUAGUGUAGGCUGGCUUUAUGCUCGUGCUAAGGGGACCGAGUGAAUUUUUACAGCAGUUGUUAAACUAAAUUGUACAAUAGAGUGCCGUCUGGGUUGACGGUAGUCCCGGAUCAUCGAGUUUUGUACUGGAUUAUGCCUCCGGCACAUGGAUUACAGUUUGAUGAUCUGAUUGAUGAUUCACAUCGACUACAGCCUACAUGAACCAAAUUCGAGCUCGAUAGAGACUACACUUUUUGCUCGGCGGGGUAGCUCCCCUAAGUGCCGCUCCGGAGUGAAGCUUUAUGCAUUAGUUUUGCAGCAACCCUUUUGGGCGACCUACAUUUGACCGGCCACCCUCGAGGUGGUGCUGUGGUAGUAGGUUGGCGCAGACUUGACCGGACCUUGGAGGUGGUUAUUUGGAUUGGAUUUGGAUAGCGAGUGCCUGAUAGCUAGCUGAUGCAUUCAUCACAUCUUGUAGUUUCAUUUUGAGCACUAGUAUAGAGGCAUAGUAGUUGUAAAUUCUUUUCCAACUUUUACUACAAUCUGCUCUACAGUUUAUCCAGUUCUUUACUUUUCACCUCUAAAAGACCUAGUGGGUAGGUCGUCGUCAUCGAUAACAGUACCGACUGAGAACUACUCGUUUACAGUAGUUCUCACACUCUUCGUUGUUGACCUUUCCUUGUAGAGCCUUCCACCUCUGUCACUGUUUUUGAUUGAGAUAAGAGAGUCGCGAAUUAAUUCCUUACCUUCUCGUGCUGGCCGAGUUGGAGGAGCACCAUUGUAGCUGGUUUUUGAAGAGUAGUUCAUUGUACAUACUACAUCGACUAGCGGACUGAUGCUUACGCUUUUACCUUCGGUUGUCUGAGGUGGCUUUGUACUUGGUGGAGAUGUAUUAUUGUACUAUUUUGGGAUGUGUGUAUGUAUGUACAGUGGACUAUGUUUUAGCUUUUAGCAGUUUUAUUUCAGCUCCGAUUUCUAUUUAUAGUAGACUCUAGAAUUAUUUUCUGGUUAUGUUUUGCUUCAUGUACACAGGGCAUUCUGUGUAUGCCGCAGGUCUAUUGGCAAGCCCGAGUUCCGCCAUAACACGGGGCGUAACAUGUAGAACUAGUCGAAACGCUAUUCUGAAAUGUGGUUCAUUUAGAACGUUAGCAUCAAUAUUCCAAAAUGCAGUAUGCAGUGUUCAUGUGGUUCCCCACCAUAGCGCAUGCAGAUGCAUAUGCAGUCUAACUAUUAAUAUAUUAAAAAGUAUUUAUAGGUACUAAAAAUAUAUAUAAAUACUUGCUAACAAAGCUAACUACCUAAAAUAAUAAUUUAGAAUUCACCAAUUGAAAUAAUUAAUUUCAAGUAAGACCUCAUACGUAAACAUGUACCACUAAACUAAUAAUUAGCAAUUUACUCAUCAUUAUUAAAUAGAGAAAUAAAUAGAAUUUUGAUGCAAAAUUAUAAAAAAAUGCCAAACAAAAAUCAAUGUUCUAAAAAACAAUAUGCUAAACUUUUAUGAAGAAUAAUAAUUUUUUCAAUAAACUAUCAUUCAAGGAUUUAAGUGCCAUUAGUAGGGGUCGUAUCCACCGCGCCAUAUCAUGUCAACAAGAUAUCGGCACGAUACAACCCCCGUGCCGAUAGCAGAACACAAGACCUUAUAUUCUUUAAAUUAGUAAGUAAUUUUCUCAAUAAAGUUUAAAAGAGUUGAUAAAUAUACAUAAUAAAUAAAUAGAAUAUUUUGUUGUUAAAGAAAAUAAAUAUUUCAUGCCAUUACGUGUAGGCAUACAUAUUUUUUUGUGACUGGCAUGCAUCGGCACGGUUCGGCACGCACUGUGCCGUACCAUGUUGGCAAGUUUCCGGCACUACCCCGUGCCACGGCAUUUAAAUCUUUGCUAUCAUUCACGUCAUCUGACAGGCCAACACUUAAAUAAAAUAUAUAAUACUAUCUAACAACUAUAAAAUUAUCCACUAAUAUUUACAAACAUAAUUAUUAGAUAUCUUAGGAAUAAUACCCACUAAAAUAAGAAGAGAGAUAGUUAGAUUAUGUUUAUAUAAAGAUAAUUGGAUUUAUAUACAUUAUUAACUAAACUUGUAUGAAAAUAGAUAUGUACAUGUAUAAUCAAUAACCAAACAAUCUCACUCAACAUUGUUUUUUAAUCCCAUCUUCAAAAAAUGUUGCAUAGGUGGCAGCCUUUACCAUGCGUCUGCUUUUCUGUUCCUGUAGGCUUUGGAAGUUCGGAUGACCAUACCUAUAAACUGCAUAUGUGGCUGCAUAUGUGGCCACCUACUGCAUCGCACAUUAUAUAUGCGGUGCAGUUGUUAGUACAAACCGCAUAUGCGACUGCAUAUAUCGUUUUUUGGAACAUUGAUCAACAUAUAUAGAAAAGUCAAUAACUACUUUUAUUACCGUAUGGUUCUUUUUAUUCAUUACGGUCGGAUUGGGUACUCUCCUUUCUAAUCAAAACUUCUUCAACUUUUUUCCAUUCAAAUAUGACUCUUUUGUAUUAUUUGUUCUAAUAAUAUACAUUUCUUUCAGAAAACUAAACAAAUUACAUCUAGAAAAAUUGAAGUACACUUCUACUAUUCUGGUUCGCCACUUUUUAUGGUCCGGGUCAGGUACCUACUGUGAAUCAGUACGUGUGAUCUAGAUUGCAGUUCGAAGGGGGGUCUACAACCCCGGUAACUAUGAUCUAACCAAAUUUCCAACUAUAUAUUACUUAAUAUUCACUAGCCCGUGGAAAAGUUUUCAGUAUUAAAUUACCCUUUUAUAUUUCAGACAGCCUACAGCUAGCAGAAAAGCUCCAAAACAUCCCAGUUUUAUCCAACUUCUAACAGCUUUUUUUAAUGUUCUAUUAUUUUCUUCAAGUUGCGUAUCUCUAUCACUUGCUGCUCCUUUACUUUUACAAAAUAGUAUGAGACGCGAUCUAAACCAAACUUUUACGGCCCUUCAGUGGUUAUGCUUAUAUUUAUUGUUUUCAGUUUUUACUGUUAUAUCUAAAUUGGUCCAACCGAUGAGAAAAGCACGACACUGACAUUAACAGCUGAAUGAACCAUUUAAAUCAGAGCAUUAAGAAUACCGUUCAUACAUCAUAAGAACAAAACCUGCUUAAACCAAUACAGGAUGAAGGAUUGACUGCUUCAUAUUGAAUAAAUUUACAAGGAGACACAUAUUUAAGACAUCAAGACCAAUCAAAGAAAGCGGGAGCAAUAUUUCUUCUUAGAGGAAAUCGAAGUUAAAAAGUCAAAGCAUCAAAUCAAUAGCUUUAAUUAUAUUUAAAGAGUCUCCUUUUCCUUUGAUUCUUGUAAUCAUUACGAACAAACAAGAUGAAAUAUAAAAGAUCAGAAGAUUCAAAUUAAGCAAGAGGAAUCAAUACAUCACAUAAGACAAAACAUUAACACAUCGAGCAACAAAGAAAUCUAUAAACCACAAAUCCUGGAGAAAUGAAGACAACAGAAUAAGUAAACAAUAAUAACACAAACACAUGACAUCAAGCGAUCACAUGCGAGCAAAGAGAGAGAGAGAGAGAGAGAGAGAACAGGGAACUCACCGAUCGAGUCUCGUAGAGGUCGAAGCUCUGAAGGUAGCAUCCGUGGGCGACCGGUUCUUCCGCGAUCGGCGCCGCGGCGCCGUUCUCUACCGCCAUUCCCGACCAGAUCCCGAGCCCCGGGCUCGGGCCCGCUCACACGCGCAUCCAAGAAUCGCCCGGAUCACCACUCGGCCGCGCGCCCUAAACCUAGAUCCCCGCCGGGUUGCUUCAGAUACAGCAUCUCCUCCCCGUCCCCCCGCUGUUCUCCCUCCUCCUCCUCCUCCUCCUCACCCUCACCACCUCUCCAAUCCCUUCUCCUCCAUCAAACACCUCCAAAUCGAGCACAAAAUGGCGAACAACAGAUCGGGAAGCGAGGGGGAGGCUCGUCACCUCUACCGCUCGUCGCGACCUCGGGAUCUCCCGAUCGAGGAGACGCGGCGGAAUCGAGCGAAAACGAUUUCUCCGAGAAUUUGGCUUCGAUUUCGCCCUAGAAUUCGGUCUAUUCCGCUAGGAUUUAGGGUUCGAAUUGGGGAAUUGGGGGUGGGUCGGGGUUGCGGAGUGGAGGAGAGGUUCGAGAGAGAGCGAAGCGAAGCCACAGCUCAAUCCACACAAAAACACCCGACGAGUUGGAGGGGGACGGAGCAAAAAAAGAAAAUAGAAAA
This 15846-nucleotide long non-coding RNA is filed under the name Ananas comosus (pineapple). RNAcentral describes it as "long non-coding RNA (ACOM_LNC010426)". The record is from RNAcentral. Lineage: Eukaryota; Viridiplantae; Streptophyta; Magnoliopsida; Poales; Bromeliaceae.